Aedes aegypti (yellow fever mosquito) is the source of this 625-nucleotide long non-coding RNA. RefSeq lists it as uncharacterized. The transcript is spliced from 3 exons. The record is from RefSeq and is a predicted model, not a curated record. Lineage: Eukaryota; Metazoa; Arthropoda; Insecta; Diptera; Culicidae.
GUUCGAAAGUUGGCGGCGCGUUUUGUUGCGAAUGAGACAGACAAUAUGCAAUAAAGAAAACGAAUAGAUUUAUAAAGGGCUAACCUGUUUUGCGUUGCCGAAGCCUCGAUGGAAGGUAUGGUAACGUUGAAUUUCUCUCCUCUUCAUUCGCUUGCAUUAUAACGCAAACGUAAUAAUGACGUCAUGCAAACCGAAUUGAAGAACAUUCAAAGUGUGAAUGCAAAGGCAACAUAAAAUCAGCAUACCUAUUUUUCGGCUCCUUUGCUCUCAGCCAUCUGUCAAACUCUUGUUUUGAUUUCGUUUCUGCGCCGUAAAGUUCGGAGCGGCAUCUCGGCAGUGAUUAGGUUUUAGGUUUCGCUCAAAAAUCUUGCCGUUCAUUCCAGCUCAUCAGAUGGAGGCAAACGAAGCAAUGAUAGACGACUGCGAGGCGAGUUUUCCUGGUCAGUUGCGGGGUUCGAAUGGCCCCACGCUUGGUGCACAAAUAGAUGAGUCAUUCAAUCUCUGUGUCCAUCGCCAUUCAGAUGCUAGUUCUCUGGUGGUGCUACGUGACUGCACCAACUCUAUGAGGGAAGACCAGGUUGAUGAAUUCUUUGUUUCUCCGCCAACUCCAAAGCGCAACCCAACG